RNAcentral lists this ribosomal RNA (428 nucleotides) under uncultured soil bacterium. Its description in RNAcentral is "bacterial SSU rRNA". It matches the Rfam family "Bacterial small subunit ribosomal RNA", at positions 26 to 459 of the family's 1533-position model. The record is from RNAcentral.
AGAUUGAACGCUGGCGGUAGGCCUAACACAUGCAAGUCGAGCGCGAAAGUGCCUUCGGGUGCGAGUAGAGCGGCGGACGGGUGCGUAACGCGUAGGAAUCUGCCUGGUAGUGGGGGAUAACUCGGGGAAACUCGAGCUAAUACCGCAUACGCCCAUGGGGGAAAGCGGGGGACCUUCGGGCCUCGCGCUAUCAGGUGAGCCCGCGUCGGAUUAGCUAGUUGGUAGGGUAAUGGCCUACCAAGGCGACGAUCCGUAGCUGGUCUGAGAGGAUGAUCAGCCACACUGGGACUGAGACACGGCCCAGACUCCUACGGGAGGCAGCAGUGGGGAAUAUUGGACAAUGGGGGCAACCUGAUCAGCCAUACCGCGUGUGUGAUGAAGGCCGUUAAGGGUUGUAAAGCUCUUUACCCGAGAUGAUAAUGACAGUA